GAGUUGUGAUUGAUGUUAUUUCAUUUCUAUUGAUCAAUGUGGAUUGAUUUUUAAAUUGAGCUAGAUUGGUAGUUUAAAACUAUAUUUGAAUCAAGUAUAUGAGUUGGGGAUUUUUUAGUCUUACUACAACCUUUUUUUUAUUUGGUUGUAUUAUGUUAUUUCAAAUGAUUUUUCUUUUAUAUUGUGCUUUGUUUUCAUAAUAUUUAUAUCAUAGUUGUUAGCCCUAAAAUUGAUUUUGGUGAUGUCAAAAGAUAUUUGAGUAUAAAUUAUGUUUACU
Molecule: long non-coding RNA, 277 nt
Filed under: Elaeis guineensis (African oil palm)
Lineage: Eukaryota; Viridiplantae; Streptophyta; Magnoliopsida; Arecales; Arecaceae
Description: long non-coding RNA (EGUI_LNC003858)
Source: RNAcentral